UCUCCUGGAAAACGGGUGGUAAUGCCGGAUGCUCCAGUUGAUCGCAUGGUCUUCUGGGAAAGCUUUCGCGGUAUGGGAUGGGGUCGCGUCCUAUCAGCUUGACGGCGGGGUAACGGCCCACCGUGGCUUCGACGGGUAGCCGGCCUGAGAGGGCGACCGGCCACAUUGGGACUGAGAUACGGCCCAGACUCCUACGGGAGGCAGCAGUGGGGAAUAUUGCACAAUGGGCGCAAGCCUGAUGCAGCGACGCCGCGUGAGGGAUGGAGGCCUUCGGGUUGUAAACCUCUUUUAUCGGGGAGCAAGCGUGAGUGAGUUUACCCGUUGAAUAAGCACCGGCUAACUACGUGCCAGCAGCCGCGGUAAUACGUAGGGUGCAAGCGUUAUCCGGAAUUAUUGGGCGUAAAGGGCUCGUAGGCGGUUCGUCGCGUCCGGUGUGAAAGUCCAUCGCUUAACGGUGGAUCCGCGCCGGGUACGGGCGGGCUUGAGUGCGGUAGGGGAGACUGGAAUUCCCGGUGUAACGGUGGAAUGUGUAGAUAU
RNAcentral lists this ribosomal RNA (537 nucleotides) under Bifidobacterium longum subsp. infantis. RNAcentral describes it as "bacterial SSU rRNA". It matches the Rfam family "Bacterial small subunit ribosomal RNA", at positions 146 to 697 of the family's 1533-position model. RNAcentral also lists the same sequence under 1 other name. Lineage: Bacteria; Bacillati; Actinomycetota; Actinomycetes; Bifidobacteriales; Bifidobacteriaceae. The record is from RNAcentral.